This 279-nucleotide ribosomal RNA is filed under the name uncultured bacterium. Its description in RNAcentral is "partial 16S ribosomal RNA". It matches the Rfam family "Bacterial small subunit ribosomal RNA", at positions 506 to 784 of the family's 1533-position model. The record is from RNAcentral.
UGCCAGCAACCGCGGUAAUACGGAGGGUGCAAGCGUUACUCGGAUUUACUGGGCGUAAAGGAUGCGCAGGCGGCUAUGUGUGUUAGGUGUGAAAUCUCGGGGCUCAACUCCGAAACUGCGCCUAAAACUGCAUAGCUAGAGACUCGGAGGGGUAAGCGGAAUUCCAGGUGUAGCGGUGAAAUGCGUAGAUAUCUGGAGGAACACCAAUGGCGAAGGUAGCUUACUGGACGAGAUCUGACGCUCAAGCAUGAAAGCGUGGGUAGCGAAAGGGAUUAGAUA